GGGGUGCAAACUGUUCUACCCUGAGAACAAUAUAUAUAUCAAUGAUAAGGUCAAAGAUAGAUUAUGGCUGUGAAGUUUAUAACUCAGCCUCCCACUCUGUCAAGAAAAAACUAGAUAGUAUUCAAGCCCAAGCAUUAAGAAUAUGUGCAGGUGCUCAUAAAACUGCCAGUAUAAGUGGAUUACAGACUGAAAUUGGUGACCCC
Molecule: long non-coding RNA, 203 nt
Filed under: Mytilus galloprovincialis (Mediterranean mussel)
Lineage: Eukaryota; Metazoa; Mollusca; Bivalvia; Mytilida; Mytilidae
Source: RNAcentral